This 468-nucleotide ribosomal RNA is filed under the name uncultured bacterium. RNAcentral describes it as "partial 16S ribosomal RNA". It matches the Rfam family "Bacterial small subunit ribosomal RNA", at positions 28 to 507 of the family's 1533-position model. The record is from RNAcentral.
GACGAACGCUGGCGGCGUGCUUAACACAUGCAAGUCGAACGGAAAGGCCCUGCUUUUGUGGGGUGCUCGAGUGGCGAACGGGUGAGUAACACGUGAGUAACCUGCCCUUGACUUUGGGAUAACUUCAGGAAACUGGGGCUAAUACCGGAUAGGAGCUCCUGCUGCAUGGUGGGGGUUGGAAAGUUUCGGCGGUUGGGGAUGGACUCGCGGCUUAUCAGCUUGUUGGUGGGGUAGUGGCUUACCAAGGCUUUGACGGGUAGCCGGCCUGAGAGGGUGACCGGCCACAUUGGGCCUGAGCUACGGCCCAGACUCCUACGGGAGGCAGCAGUGGGGAAUAUUGCACUAUGGGCGGAAGCCUGAUGCAGCAACGCCGCGUGCGGGAUGACGGCCUUCGGGUUGUAAACCGCUUUCGCCUGUGACGAAGCGUGAGUGACGGUAAUGGGUAAAGAAGCACCGGCUAACUACGUG